CAUGCAAGUCGAGCGAACCUUCGGGUUAGUGGCGGACGGGUGAGUAACGCGUGAGAAUCUGCCCUCAGGAGGGGGAUAACAGUUGGAAACGACUGCUAAUACCCCAUAUGCCGAGAGGUGAAAUGAAUUUCGCCUGGGGAUGAGCUCGCGUCUGAUUAGCUUGUUGGUGGGGUAAUAGCCUACCAAGGCUUCGAUCAGUAGCUGGUCUGAGAGGACGAUCAGCCACAUUGGGACUGGGACACGGCCCAGACUCCUACGGGAGGCAGCAGUGGGGAAUUUUCCGCAAUGGGCGAAAGCCUGACGGAGCAACGCCGCGUGAGGGAUGGAGGCCUUUGGGCUGUAAACCUCUUUUCUCAAGGAAGAAGAUCUGACGGUACUUGAGGAAUAAGCCACGGCUAAUUCCGUGCCAGCAGCCGCGGUAAUACGGGAGUGGCAAGCGUUAUCCGGAAUUAUUGGGCGUAAAGCGUCCGCAGGCGGCCGUUUAAGUCUGUUGUUAAAUCGUGGAGCUCAACUCCAUCACGGCAAUGGAAACUGUUCGGCUUGAGUAUGGUAGGGGCAGAGGGAAUUUCCGGUGUAGCGGUGAAAUGCGUAGAUAUCGGGAAGAACACCAGUGGCGAAAGCGCUCUGCUGGGCCAUUACUGACG
Molecule: ribosomal RNA, 644 nt
Filed under: uncultured bacterium
Lineage: Bacteria
Description: bacterial SSU rRNA
Rfam family: Bacterial small subunit ribosomal RNA
Source: RNAcentral